RNAcentral lists this ribosomal RNA (1324 nucleotides) under uncultured bacterium. RNAcentral's name for it is "partial 16S ribosomal RNA". It matches the Rfam family "Bacterial small subunit ribosomal RNA", at positions 29 to 1399 of the family's 1533-position model. The record is from RNAcentral.
ACGUACGCUGGCGGCACGCCUAACACAUGCAAGUCGAACGAAGUAGCAAUACUUAGUGGCAGACGGGUGAGUAACAUGUGGGUAUCUGCCCUUUGGCCUGGAAUAACACGAGGAAACUUGUGCUAAUACCGGAUAAGUCUUUACGGAGAAAGCUUUAUGCACCAUUGGAUGAGCCUGCACUUGAUUAGUUUGUUGGUGGGGUAAUGGCCUACCAAGACUGUGAUCAAUAGCUGAUUUGAGAGGAUGAUCAGCCACAUUGGGACUGAGACACGGCCCAAACUCCUACGGGAGGCAGCAGUGGGGAAUCUUGCACAAUGGAGGAAACUCUGAUGCAGCGAUGCCGCGUGAGUGAAGAAGGCCCUUGGGUUGUAAAGCUCUUUCGUCGGGGAAGAAAAUGACUGUACCCGAAUAAGAAGGUCCGGCUAACUUCGUGCCAGCAGCCGCGGUAAUACGAAGGGACCUAGCGUAGUUCGGAAUUACUGGGCUUAAAGAGCUCGUAGGUGGUUAGAAAAGUUGGUGGUGAAAUCCCAAGGCUUAACCUUGGAACUGCCAUCAAAACUUUUUAACUAGAGUAUGAGUGAGGUAAGCGGAAUUUCUAGUGUAGAGGUGAAAUUCGUAGAUAUUAGAAAGAACACCAAAUGCGAAGGCAACUUUCUGGAUCAUUACUGACACUGAGGAGCGAAAGCAUGGGUAGCGAAGAGGAUUAGAUACCCUCGUAGUCCAUGCCGUAAACGAUGUGUGCUAGACGUUGGAAAUAUAUUUUUCAGUGUCGCAGCGAAAGCAUUAAGCACACCGCCUGGGGAGUACGACCGCAAGGUUAAAACUCAAAUGAAUUGACGGGGACCCGCACAAGCAGUGGAGCAUGUGGUUUAAUUCGAAGAUACGCGCAGAACCUUACCAACUCUUGACAUGUUCGUCGCGAGCCUAAGAGAUUAGGCUCUUCAGUUUGGCUGGACGAAACACAGGUGCUGCAUGGCUGUCGUCAGCUCGUGUCGUGAGAUGUUGGGUUAAGUCCCGCAACGAGCGCAACCCCUACUUUUAGUUGCCACCAUUUAGUUGGGCACUUUAAAAGAACUGCCAGUGAUAAGCUGGAGGAAGGCGGGGAUGACGUCAAGUCCUCAUGGCCCUUACGUGUUGGGCUACACACGUGCUACAAUGGUACUCACAAUGAGAUGCGAAGAGGCGACUCUAAGCCAAUCCCAAAAAGGUACCUCAGUUCGGAUUGUACUCUGCAACUCGAGUACAUGAAGCUGGAAUUGCUAGUAAUCGCGGAUCAGCGCGCCGCGGUGAAUACGUUCCCGGGUCUUGUACACACCGCCCGUCA